AUGUAUUUUCUGAAUAAAAAAGGUUGGAUUUCCACUAAAAGCCAUAUAGAGUCUGCUCAAUUGGUUGAUGAGCAAAGUUCUGGAUGCACAUAUCCUCAUUGUGACUUUCUUAAACUCCAGUAUAAAAGCCAUAUAGAGUCUGCUCAAUUGGUUGAUGAGCAAAGUUCUGGGUUCACACGUCCUCAUUGUGAUUUUCUUUUGAGUCAAAUGAAUAAUGUAGUGCCAUUUCAACUACAAAAUUUUGUUCAGUCUCGGUUUAAUGCAGCUUAUAAGUGCACAGCCAGGACAAAUUUUGAUUGUCGUACUUGUAGGACUCUAGAAGAAAUGUGCAGUAUGACUCUAUGA
Molecule: ribosomal RNA, 345 nt
Filed under: Triticum aestivum (bread wheat)
Lineage: Eukaryota; Viridiplantae; Streptophyta; Magnoliopsida; Poales; Poaceae
Description: partial small subunit ribosomal RNA
Source: RNAcentral